Molecule: ribosomal RNA, 166 nt
Filed under: Ranunculus godleyanus
Lineage: Eukaryota; Viridiplantae; Streptophyta; Magnoliopsida; Ranunculales; Ranunculaceae
Description: 5.8S ribosomal RNA
Rfam family: 5.8S ribosomal RNA
About the family: 5.8S ribosomal RNA (5.8S rRNA) is a component of the large subunit of the eukaryotic ribosome. It is transcribed by RNA polymerase I as part of the 45S precursor that also contains 18S and 28S rRNA.
Source: RNAcentral
AAACGACUCUCGGCAACGGAUAUCUCGGCUCUUGCAUCGAUGAAGAACGUAGCGAAAUGCGAUACUUGGUGUGAAUUGCAGAAUCCCGUGAACCAUCGAGUUUUUGAACGCAAGUUGCGCCUGAUACCAUUAGGUUGAGGGCACGUCUGCCUGGGCGUCACACACA